RNAcentral lists this ribosomal RNA (434 nucleotides) under uncultured bacterium. RNAcentral describes it as "partial 16S ribosomal RNA". It matches the Rfam family "Bacterial small subunit ribosomal RNA", at positions 29 to 507 of the family's 1533-position model. The record is from RNAcentral.
AACGAACGCUGGCGGCAUGCCUAACACAUGCAAGUCGAACGAGCCUUUCGGGGUUAGUGGCGUACGGGUGAGUAACACGUGGGAACGUGCCUUUAGGUUCGGAAUAACUCAGCGAAACUUGUGCUAAUACCGAAUGUGCCCUUCGGGGGAAAGAUUUAUCGCCUUUGGAGCGGCCCGCGGCUGAUUAGCUAGUUGGUUGAGGUAAUGGCUCACCAAGGCGACGAUCAGUAGCUGGUCUGAGAGGAUGAUCAGCCACAUUGGGACUGAGACACGGCCCAAACUCCUACGGGAGGCAGCAGUGGGGAAUGUUGAGAAAUGGGCGAAAGCCUGAGGCAGCGAUGCGGCGUGAAUGAUGAAGGUCUUAGGAUUGUCAAAUUAUUUCACCGGGGAGGAUAAUGACGGUACCCGGAGAAGAAGCCCCGGCUAAUUCCGUG